CUCCGCCGCGGACGGACGCGGUCGCCAUGGCGGCGGCGGCGGCUGCUCCGCGGGCUUCGUGGGUCCUGGAGGGGGGCCUUGCCACCCUAGCUCCCCGACCCCGCGCCACAGGGGCGCCUGCAGUUAUGUAAACAUGCAUCUGUCUUUGCAAAUUCAUGGGAGGAGAAAUCACACAGAAGAGGAGAGGGACUCCUAAAAAGUAUGUGUUGGGAUCCCAUUCGCUGUGUUGCCUAGGCUGGUCUUGAACUAGUGGACUCAACUGAUCUCCCACCUCAGCCCCUUCAGUAGCUGGGAUUACAGGCAUACAUCACCAUGCCUAGCUUCUGACAAACUUGUUUCCGAUUACUUUUUGAGUGAUCCUGAAAUCUGCUUUACUGGAUUUUUUCACAUCUACAUUAAUCACCAUAAUUAAUCUCCCAAUAGUUUAUUGUGAUAAACUGAAGUUACAAGUAAGAGCAAUUUGAAUCUGCAGAUACACUAAUCUAUUAAUAAGUUAGCAUUGAGAGGUAGUAUCAAGUAAUAAUUGUGGAAGAGAGAAGGCUAAGCCUGCUCUGAGUCACUCCUUGUUGUAUGGAACAGUGGUGCCUAGUCCUGAAUUAGUCCACUGUAUAAAGCGUUUGACCCAAGCUACUCCAUUUUGAAUGAAACUGCUAAAGCAGAAUGAUUUGGUAAUUUGUCUGAGCAAACAGAUAACCACCAGAUGGUGGACAUGUAGAAUUCCUCAAGAAGAAUGACCUCCAACAACUGCAGCAUGAUCAUAAGGCACAAACUGGAAUUGUGCUAAUAAAUAAUGACCACUUGUGAACUUACCAAAUUAAAUCAGAAACACAUGGAUGCAUAGGCAUCUCAAACCCGUAUCAGAGAAACAGGCCCCUGAGUUUAUCAGUCUCGCCAGAAGUAAUCCCCUCAGCUGAAACACGUAAAAGGAGGAGCACCCAAAAAGGUGAUGGGUGGUGGGCAGACCAGCCAGUGAACUACUCAGGAGGUCAACAGGUGACAAACUCCCAACUCUGUUCUUAGGACUUCAGCUCAGCAGGGGGGAGGCAGCCCACUUCACAACUGCCUGCCCUCUGGACCUUGGCCUAGAGUAAAUUCAGCACCCUGGUAGUCCUGAACCCUGAGCAAGUGCUUCAGCUGGAUUCUAAUCUGACCUUGCAGUGAGUCUUCUGUAGUUAUAUCUGCUCCUGCCUUCACUUUCCAUGGGGUGUCUUGAAACGCUGAGGCCAUGCUUAACUCUUCCUUAGCCUUUCUGUAAAUUGUGUAAAGUAUGAUGUGUGACUUGAGUGUUAUAAACAUUAGUAAUUAAGACUGAAAUGGAAUGGAAGAAAUUGUGAUCACCUUAGUCAUGACACCAAGUGAACCAUGAGUAUUUUCAGGAAAUUGAAACCAAUGAAGUUGAUGUAGCCUGUAAAUUUAUUAUUAUUCA
This is a long non-coding RNA of Sciurus carolinensis (gray squirrel), 1426 nucleotides long. RefSeq lists it as uncharacterized. The transcript is spliced from 3 exons. NCBI's taxonomy places the organism in Eukaryota, Metazoa, Chordata, Mammalia, Rodentia, Sciuridae. The record is from RefSeq and is a predicted model, not a curated record.